UUUAAAUUUAUUUAANUUGGCGGCAUUUUUUAAACAGAGGAACUUGUUCUUUAAUUCGAUGGUCCUCGUUAGAUCUUACUUAGUUUUAUAGGUUUAUAUACCGUUGUUGAAUUUAAUUUUAAAGGAUUUCUUUUUUGAAUGUUUAAAGGGUAAAAUGAAAGUUUUGAUUUCAAAUCAAGGUGUAGCGGUAAAUUAAGGUAGAAAUUAGUUACUUUGUUUAGAAAUAAAUUUAAAUUUGUUUUUCUUUUCAUAAUUUUGUAAUUUUUAUGGUGAGGUGGAUUUGUUUGUAGGAGGAAAUUAGUUAGUUUUUUUGAUUUUUGAUAGAAAUGUGUACAUACCGCCCGUCGCUCGCGGGA
Molecule: ribosomal RNA, 356 nt
Filed under: Facetotecta sp.
Lineage: Eukaryota; Metazoa; Arthropoda; Thecostraca
Description: partial small subunit ribosomal RNA
Source: RNAcentral